This 30-nucleotide non-coding RNA is filed under the name Mus musculus (house mouse). The record is from RNAcentral. Lineage: Eukaryota; Metazoa; Chordata; Mammalia; Rodentia; Muridae.
UGACUUUGGAUGUGUCCUAAUAGCAGAUCA